RNAcentral lists this long non-coding RNA (406 nucleotides) under Helianthus annuus (common sunflower). Lineage: Eukaryota; Viridiplantae; Streptophyta; Magnoliopsida; Asterales; Asteraceae. The record is from RNAcentral.
GAUUGGGGAGAUACGAAAGUAAUUGGCUGGAAGAAUUGCCUAGCGUUUUAUGGGCAAUCAGAACAACAGAAAAAGGAGGAGCAAGAUGACUAAGAGCAUCCUCACAGACGGCAGCAUCCUUGAAAGUAUCAUCAUUCUUCACUUGCCAAGCAGGCACAUAAACACCUUCAGGAUCCAACCCUCCAGCGUCCCUGCUUGAUGAUUCUUGAACAGGGGUAACCUUCUUACCUCGAACCUUCUUGCCAUGAACAACCAACUCCUUAUCUUGUUCAACACCCGCUUCAACCUGAUCCUCUGAAACCUCAAUAUCAUCAGUCAAAUCCACUGGCUCAGUGGAAGUGGAUUGAGGCCCAGCUUUCAGCAAACGACGAGAAGAUCGGCGACUUGAAGACUUAGGGGCAGUAGA